This 468-nucleotide ribosomal RNA is filed under the name uncultured bacterium. RNAcentral describes it as "partial 16S ribosomal RNA". It matches the Rfam family "Bacterial small subunit ribosomal RNA", at positions 28 to 507 of the family's 1533-position model. The record is from RNAcentral.
GACGAACGCUGGCGGCGUGCUUAACACAUGCAAGUCGAACGGAAAGGCCCUGCUUUUGUGGGGUGCUCGAGUGGCGAACGGGUGAGUAACACGUGAGUAACCUGCCCUUGACUUUGGGAUAACUUCAGGAAACUGGGGCUAAUACCGGAUAGGAGCUCCUGCUGCAUGGUGGGGGUUGGAAAGUUUCGGCGGUUGGGGAUGGACUCGCGGCUUAUCAGCUUGUUGGUGGGGUAGUGGCUUACCAAGGCUUUGACGGGUAGCCGGCCUGAGAGGGUGACCGGCCACAUUGGGACUGAGAUACGGCCCAGACCCCCACGGGAGGCAGCAGUGGGGAAUAUUGCACAAUGGGCGGAAGCCUGAUGCAGCAACGCCGCGUGCGGGAUGACGGCCUUCGGGUUGUAAACCGCUUUCGCCUGUGACGAAGCGUGAGUGACGGUAAUGGGUAAAGAAGCACCGGCUAACUACGUG